UUUGAGUAUUAUUUCUUUUGAUUAGUUCACUACAUACAGUAUAUAACUAUAAACAUUGUUCUAUAUAUUCUUCUUUUCGAUAUUCUAACUUUCAGGCAUAGCCAUGAAUUCUAAAGGUUUUUCAAUUUUCUUUGACAACAGUCUCUUGUGGCUGAUACUAUAUCUGCUUGAAGGGGUUUUGAAUCCCUACUGAUGCUUUCAGAUCAAGAUUGUGCUACAAAUUCCAAGUACGAAUCAAAUGCCAUCUCUAAGAAUGAAGACAAAGCUAGCCACAUCCAGUUCGAAAGAAAAAAAUGGUCUCCAUGUCUGUCCAAAUUCUAGUGUCAUAUCCAAGAGUUCUCUCUCUCGAACCAGAAGUGUGCAGAAUGCAGACGAAGUUGCAGAUCUGAUUCACAAUACUCAUGAUGUUCCUAGCUACUACAAAGUUCAUCCACACCAAGUCGGAAGAAAUGGUGAUCAUGCUAAUGAUUUGGUAGAUGACCUUCUUGAAAAGCAACAGCCACCUGUUACUGAUUCUGCAAACCUUGAUACCACGGUUUUGGAAUCGGUGCAGGAGUCUACAGUAGUGAUCUGCAAACCAAGUUCAGAGACAAUCUUUUCACCUAGUGUGGAGCCUGUUAGUGGUGCGCACAGUGAGUCUGAUAUACCAAGUGAUGGAGCAAACAAUGAUUUUUAUGUACCCCAAUUGGAGACUGAAGAUAGUGAUAGCAGCAGAAGUUCGUGUGAACAUCAGACGUGCAAUGUUUCAGAUUUCUACAUCUCUGAUAUGAUUGUUUCUUGUUUGGCUGUUGAGGGUGAAACCAUCUAUGAUAACAGUUUGACUGACAGGUUCUUGGCUGAUUACAAGUGUGAAGAACCAAAUAUUUUUAAUAAUGUUGAUGAGGAAUACUUGCUGUUGCCUUUCCUUGAAGACACUGCAGCAGCUAGCUAUAGUCAAGUGUGCAGAACGUCUAGUGAAGAAACUGCUGUUCAGUCUGAUGAUUCGAGCUUAUACAUGGCAAUUCACCAGCUUAGAUCAUCUGAACAAUCUGAUGCUUUCACAUAUUUAGAAUCUGAUCAAGCAGAAUGCUUUGACCCACAUAUAUUCAUAAGAAAUUUGCCAGACAUAUUAGAGAGGCCAAGUAUUUUGCCAAACGAAUCAGAAACAUGCAAACCGAUCACCCUAGUACUUGACCUAGAUGAAACACUUGUUCAUUCUACACUGGAGCACUGUGACGAUGCAGACUUCACAUUU
This 1234-nucleotide unclassified non-coding RNA is filed under the name Hevea brasiliensis (rubber tree). The record is from RNAcentral. Lineage: Eukaryota; Viridiplantae; Streptophyta; Magnoliopsida; Malpighiales; Euphorbiaceae.